AUUGAACGCUGGCGGCAGGCCUAACACAUGCAAGUCGAACGAGUGGCGGACGGGUGAGUAAAGUCUGGGAAACUGCCUGAUUGAGGGGGAUAACUACUGGAACCGGUAGCUAAUACCGCAUACCAUCGGAUGUGCCCAGAUGGGAUUAGCUAGUAGGUGGGGUAACGGCUCACCUAGGCGACGAUCCCUAGCUGGUCUGAGAGGAGAACAAGACACACUGGAACUGCGACACGGUCAAGACUCAUACGGGAGGCAGCAGUGGGGAAUAUUGCACAAUGGGCGCAAGCCUAAUGAAGCCAUGCCGGGUUUAUGAAGAAGGCCUUCGGGUUGUAAAGUACUUUCAGCGGGGAGGCGUUACCCGCAGAAGAAGCACCGGCUAACUCCGUGCCAGCAGCCGCGGUAAUAC
This 406-nucleotide ribosomal RNA is filed under the name uncultured bacterium. Its description in RNAcentral is "partial 16S ribosomal RNA". It matches the Rfam family "Bacterial small subunit ribosomal RNA", at positions 30 to 526 of the family's 1533-position model. The record is from RNAcentral.